UUUUGUUCUUUCGACAACUUCAUGUUUCCUUAUUGGCUUUUGUUUUCUUUUGGUCCUAGUUCUAACUUCACAUUCCUUAUUAGUUCUCUUCCUUUUCUUCAUACUUCACAGCUCCUUAAGGAUUCAACUCCGAGGUCACUACCAAGUUUCUUCAAUUUUUAAUCUCUUUUGUGCCUCUCUUCUCUUUCAUGUUGCCACCACCAACUUGGAUCUUAGGAAUUUUUUAAGACAAAGGCAUCAAGUAAGAAAGAUAAAGACAAGCUUUGGAUGGCUAGCCCUAACUUUUCAAUCUUGGUUUGUGGACUUCAAUCUCACUAACUAAUUUGGGGCUUUUGUUGGGUUUAUCGGGGAGAGAGUGGAGGCCGGAGCAAGUAGGUAUGAACUAGGGUGUAAAACUUUCACGUACUUGUACUUUUGUAAAUGAGACGUAUUUGAAAUCUUUGGAAAUGUAAUCCUAUGAUUUACCUUUGGAUUGUAAAUUAAGUUUGAAUUACUGGUUGGAAAUGGAACUUUUAUGU
Coffea arabica (coffee) is the source of this 518-nucleotide long non-coding RNA. RefSeq lists it as uncharacterized. NCBI's taxonomy places the organism in Eukaryota, Viridiplantae, Streptophyta, Magnoliopsida, Gentianales, Rubiaceae. The record is from RefSeq and is a predicted model, not a curated record.